GUAUUAAUUUGCUAGUGUUUUUCAGAUAGCAGCAUGGCAUGUGUAAGGGCGUGGGCCGGGACACGCAGCCAUUAGGCACCACCCACUGCGCCGGCCGGCGCAGCAAAUUGCACCUCGCGGUGCCACCAACCACGCCUCGCGGCGUGAUCCAUGGCGCCUGACGGCGCAUCCACAACCCACUCCAAAAGUGCACAGGAACGUGUACCAACAGAUACGGUGAUGAUCCUUCCGCAGGUUCACCUACGAAAA
RNAcentral lists this unclassified non-coding RNA (249 nucleotides) under uncultured fungus. RNAcentral describes it as "sequence contains ITS1". Lineage: Eukaryota; Fungi. The record is from RNAcentral.